CNGCAGUCGACGAUUCCUACGGGAGGCAGCAGUGGGGAAUUUUGGGCAAUGGGGGAAACCCUGACCCAGCAACGCCGCGUGGAGGAAGAAGGUUUUCGGAUCGUAAACUCCUGUCCCGAGGGACGAAGCAAGUGACGGUACCUCGGGAGGAAGCCCCGGCUAACUCCGUGCCAGCAGCCGCGGUAAUACGGGGGGGGCAAGCGUUGUUCGGAAUUACUGGGCGUAAAGGGCGCGCAGGCGGUUUCGUCAGUCAUGGGUGAAAGCCCCGGGCUCAACCCGGGAAUGGCCUGUGAAACCACGGAACUGGAGUGCUGGAGAGGGAAGCGGAAUUCCCAGUGUAGCGGUGAAAUGCGUAGAUAUUGGGAGGAACAUCGGUGGCGAAGGCGGCUUCCUGGACAGACACUGACGCUGAGGCGCGAAAGCCAGGGGAGCGAACGGGAUUAGAUACCCCGGUAGUCCUGGCUGUAAACGAUGAAUACUUGGUGUAGGGGGUAGGAAAGUCCCUCUGUGCCGUAGAGAACUCGAUAAGUAUUCCGCCUGGGGAGUACGGCCGCAAGGCUGAAACUCAAAGGAAUUGACGG
RNAcentral lists this ribosomal RNA (581 nucleotides) under uncultured Acidobacteriota bacterium. RNAcentral describes it as "bacterial SSU rRNA". It matches the Rfam family "Bacterial small subunit ribosomal RNA", at positions 323 to 916 of the family's 1533-position model. The record is from RNAcentral. Lineage: Bacteria; Pseudomonadati; Acidobacteriota.